GAUCUCUGGUAUGGUGCGCCUGGCCCACCGUCGCAAGGCGUGUGAGUGUCGGUGUGCGCCUGCCAUUUAUCUGGGGAAUGGCACGCACUUAACUGUGCGGGUCGCGAUCCAGGUCCUUUACUUUGAAAAAAUUAGAGUGUUUAAAGCAGGCUUGCGCUAUGAAUACAUUAGCAUGGAAUAAUAAUUUAGGACUUUGUUCCUAUUUUGUUGGUUUCUAGGAAUGAAGUAAUGAUUGAUAGGGAUAGUUGGGGGUGCUAGUAUUCAUCGGCCAGAGGUGAAAUUCUUGGAUUCGAUGAAGACUAACUUAUGCGAAAGCAUU
This 319-nucleotide ribosomal RNA is filed under the name uncultured Spongomonas. RNAcentral describes it as "SSU rRNA". The stretch from base 102 to 319 matches the Rfam family "Eukaryotic small subunit ribosomal RNA", at positions 736 to 955 of the family's 1831-position model. The record is from RNAcentral. Lineage: Eukaryota; Cercozoa; Imbricatea; Spongomonadida.